This 498-nucleotide ribosomal RNA is filed under the name uncultured bacterium. RNAcentral's name for it is "partial 16S ribosomal RNA". It matches the Rfam family "Bacterial small subunit ribosomal RNA", at positions 28 to 523 of the family's 1533-position model. The record is from RNAcentral.
GAUGAACGCUAGCGGCAGGCCUAAUACAUGCAAGUCGGACGGGAUUUGGGAGCUUGCUCCUAAUGAGAGUGGCGCACGGGUGCGUAACACGUAUGUAACCUACCUUAAUCAGGGGGAUAGCCUCUCGAAAGAGAGAUUAACACCGCAUAAUAUAUUUUUAUGGCAUCGUAGAAAUCUCAAAUAUUUAUAGGAUUAAGAUGGGCAUGCGGAACAUUAGCUAGUUGGUAAGGUAACGGCUUACCAAGGCUACGAUGUUUAGGGGAUCUGAGAGGAUGACCCCCCACACUGGUGCUGAGACACGGACCAGACUCCUACGGGAGGCAGCAGUAAGGAAUAUUGGUCAAUGGGCGCAAGCCUGAACCAGCCAUGCCGCGUGCAGGAAGACGGCCCUAUGGGUUGUAAACUGCUUUUGUACCGGAAUAAACCCUUUUACGUGUAAGAGGCUGAAUGUACGGUAAGAAUAAGGAUCGGCUAACUCCGUGCCAGCAGCCGCCGUAA